This 406-nucleotide ribosomal RNA is filed under the name uncultured Aeromonas sp. Its description in RNAcentral is "bacterial SSU rRNA". It matches the Rfam family "Bacterial small subunit ribosomal RNA", at positions 150 to 551 of the family's 1533-position model. The record is from RNAcentral. Lineage: Bacteria; Pseudomonadati; Pseudomonadota; Gammaproteobacteria; Aeromonadales; Aeromonadaceae.
UUGGAAACGACUGCUAAUACCGCAUACGCCCUACGGGGGAAAGGAGGGGACCUUCGGGCCUUUCGCGAUUGGAUGAACCCAGGUGGGAUUAGCUAGUUGGUGGGGUAAUGGCUCACCAAGGCGACGAUCCCUAGCUGGUCUGAGAGGAUGAUCAACCACACUGGAACUGAGACACGGUCCAGACUCCUACGGGAGGCAGCAGUGGGGAAUAUUGCACAAUGGGGGAAACCCUGAUGCAGCCAUGCCGCGUGUGUGAAGAAGGCCUUCGGGUUGUAAAGCACUUUCAGCGAGGAGGAAAGGUUGGCACCUAAUACGUGUCAACUGUGACGUUACUCGCAGAAGAAGCACCGGCUAACUCCGUGCCAGCAGCCGCGGUAAUACGGAGGGUGCAAGCGUUAAUCGGAAU